Molecule: long non-coding RNA, 3585 nt
Organism: Mesocricetus auratus (golden hamster)
Lineage: Eukaryota; Metazoa; Chordata; Mammalia; Rodentia; Cricetidae
Exons: 2
Source: RefSeq, a predicted model, not a curated record
UUCAGGCAUUUAUAUUUCAGACAUUAUUUUAUGUUAUUAUCUGGGCUUCCUUCCAUCUGAAAUAUAAUAGUGGGUUUUUUUUCGUGGAUACUAAUGCAUUUCCAAGCUUGACUGGUCAUUUAGAAGUUAGAUCUAACUGAAACAAAACAUUACUAGGUAUUCCUUUUAGAGCAGAGAAAUACACUCUCUUUACAAUGUGCUUUAUAACGAUGGCUUGAGGUUUUUUUUAUAAUUUUGAAUAGAAAGUAUGAUCUUUAUAACACCCAAAUCUCCAUCAGGCACAUCAGCUUCUCUUAGAAAGGUUUUAAUGAGUUUCGUAAGCACAGAAUUUUUUAAAAUUUGUUAAGCAAGGCUGUGUUUGAGAGAACUUUAUCUGGCUUAUAACCAUGAAGAAUUAGGGUAGAAUUUUCCUCCCACGGGUAGCAUCUUGUGAGUGUAUAUGUAGGUCACUAUUUCUGAGUAAUUGCUUUAUCAAUAAGUGACAGCUCAUAUCUGAUGCAAUUGGCUGGGCAAACACUUCUCAGUGAAGUCUUUUGAGAUUUCUUUUUGCAUUUAUACCCAGAAAAUUAAAAACAAAAUAGGUUGUAUAAGAACCCAUCCUUCCUCACAAGAUACCAAAUUGUGGCAGAGAAUCCCACUUGGGGACAUCCCUGGUGGAUUGUUGGCAGAUGUGAGAACCCCAACACUUACCAUGGUAUCCUUCUUGCUGACUUCUGCCCCAGACGAGUCAUUUGCAAAUUUCAGAGGUCAUAUCAGACCUGGUUCCAAAUGGAUGGAUUCCCCAACUUCCAAAACAUGAGUUCUGCUCCCCUGGGUUAGUGUUCUGAAACCCACCAAUGGAUUCUGUGUCUACACAUCUUCCUCCAGAGCUUGCUUAGAUAUAUCAUGCAUCAGCCUUUGCAUCUGUGACUCCUUUAGCCUUUCCUAGGCCAGGAAGCACUGUGUACUUUCCAGACCAGUCAUAGGCUGUGUAGGGGCAAGGCCUGCCUUCCAACUGCCUUGCUGUCCCCCAGCAACAGGUAGUCUUGCCUUUUUUUCUUUUUUCUUUUUUCUUUUUGGUUUUCCGAGACAGGGUUUCUCUAUGGCUUUGGAGGCCGUCCUGGAAGUAGUCUUGCUUUUUUACCUUCGCUUUCAAAAUAUUGAAAUGUAUGCAAUCAACUAUGAUGUUAAUGAAACAAAAAAUGUUAAGACCCGCUUCUGUGGAUCCCUGGACUAUUUUCAGUUGCUGCUUCCCUCAAGCAAUUCCCUUAUCUACAACUGAAUGAAAAGCUGCCAUGCAUCAUUGCAAGUUCCCAUGCGUCUUCUGUGAUACCAUGAGCCUUUGUGAUUGCACAGUCAGAAUUGUUGACUGGCAUCCUGAAAUCCUCUGACUGUAUGAACCAAGGGGCAGGUUUGCCAGCAUACUUUUGAAACAAAGACAAUGGUGUUAUAGCAAUACUCAGACAGAAGAAUGGCCCCUUAGCAAGGCAGAGUAUUGCCACCAUCGAAUUUUUUUUCAUCAACUCAUCUUUAGGGAGUUCAUGCAGCUGGAAACAUCAUCAAAGUUUCUCAGAAAUUUACAUAAGAACGAAAGCAGUCUUAACUGUGCUGAGUAAUAAAAAUCUUACUUCUUGCCGAUUAGAAGGCAUUGUGCCUGUGAGUGAGAGUUUGUGUGUGCAGGUGCUUUCUUGUGGGGACUCACUCACCUGGAUGCAGUUCCUCUCUGGUGUGUUUAUGUUUUCUAAGCAGCCCUGGGUCGUUUACUGAGGGGUCAGUGUAAACUCAGACCCUACAAAAUCUGCUCCAAUCAUUGCAUAUGACUUUGCAUAGUUUGCGAAUUUGCUAAGUCUGCAAAAUGAAUAUACAAAUUCUAGUAACCCCCUUAUGAAGUGUGCCAACUAAAGCUUGGUAGUGAUUUACAUGCAGAGUGAAAACUGUCUGGAUCUGAUUAAUGAGGAGUAGCUGUGGAAUAGCACCAUUCCAGGUAUAUACACUCGAGAUCACCACUCCUCUUAGUUUUAUUGUCUGUGUUAUCCUGGGUUAACUCUUCCUUUAGCCGCCUAUUACAAAAGGGCAACACUUAUUUUAUUCGAAUCGUAAUGUUGGCUUGCACAUUUUUUUGUAUCCACAGGAUGAUGGUGGAUUUUUAAGAUCAACCCUAAAUUGAGCAGAAAAAUAAGUGUGCUAGAGAUAGGAUGAGGGGCUUGGAGCUGCUGCUCCUGGCUCAGUUGAUCGAUCGGUCAUGGGCAUACAGCCUUAGAAGGCGGGACUCCAGAGACGGAUUAGCGCUGCCCUCUUGGGUGUGUUGUGACUCCACAGUGUUGCAGGGAGCUCUACUGGGCCCGUGAAACCAGGCUCAAAAGGAUGCUUGACCCCACCAAUCAGAGGUCUCUCAAUCCGGGGAAGGGCACGAGAGUCGGGACCCUAGUGUGCACUAAAGAGUGAGUUCCGUGUCUCUUUCAUAGGUGGUGGAGUCUAAAGGCACAAGGAAGGCCAGGCAUAGUAACGAGCAAAGGGAACUUUGAUAUGGAAGGAAAUGUAGUAUGAUAUGGAUAUGGGGAAAAGGAGUUGGACGUGACUUCAGUUUGGUGUUCUUAACUCUCAAGAGUCUAAUCUUUCUUGCCAUAGGCUGCAGCAGGGAGAUUACUCAGAACAUGGCAUCCGUGUCUAUCAGGAGUCUACAGCUUCAAACCUCCAAAUACUUCUCCUAGGAGCCCCUGACCCUGAACAAGGUUGAAAGAUGUUCUGGUGCAUGGCCCUUUGUCUCCGGGGAGUAGAUGAAUCAUGGGAACAGUUUGGAAGAUUUUUUGCCCUGUGUUAUUCAAGCCUUAAAUACAAGCCAGACGAUGAGGGCCUCUCCAAGCUCUGUGGAUUCCAGAGUCAUGAAAAUCCCAGCACAUCCCAGCCAAGGGACAACUAGGAACAAUGAGAUAAUCCCCUCUCUCUGGACUCCUCUCUGUGUUCUGGUACCAGAAGACCCUGAGCCAGGCACCCUUAGUUCAACAAAGAAGAGAGAGAAAAGGAAACUUUCUUACUGGAUUUGAGGUACAACAAUUGUUCUGAAGAAAUCUGAGCUCCUUGGAGCGGAAGGACUCUACACUGUUCCUCUGGGUCAUCAGCAUAACACAGUCCGGCCUGAGCAUCAGCAUUAUGUAUAAAGACAUUCCUGUCCCUGCUCAAUAAGGAGUCAGGAUGAGUCAGGAUGCAGCCAGUGAAUUUGCUCAGGUCCUGAGAAGCGGCAGGCCUUUCUCAGACACUUGUGGCUGCUUAAAUCCAUGGUCUGUUUAGUGUUCACAGAAUUUGUGCUGGGAAAACAUCACUUCAUCUGUCCAUGUAUCUGAGGUGGAAGCAGCUUUCCUGGUUUUCCACUCCAUAACUACCUGAUGUCUCUUUUCCCAGUAUAUGUCAUUUCCUGUUUCCUCAUCGUUUGUUCUAGAUCUGCCCCCUCCCCUGGCUCCUUCAUCUCAGCCAAGGUGUCGUGCCAUAAGCUGACUAUUUUAUGAUUAUUUUAACCUGUUUCCAAACAAGCCUGAGUACACCAUUUUGAAACAAGCACACACACUGACAAGAAUAAAGAAGAAUAAAGGAGUGCUUUCCUUUAACAUA